UACGCAGGGCGCAAGCGUUGUCCGGAAUUAUUGGGCGUAAAGAGUUCGUAGGCGGCCUGUUGCGUCCGCUGUGAAAUCCCGGGGCUUAACCCCGGGCUUGCAGUGGAUACGGGCAGGCUGGAGGCAGGCAGGGGAGAACGGAAUUCCCGGUGUAGCGGUGAAAUGCGCAGAUAUCGGGAGGAACACCGGUGGCGAAGGCGGUUCUCUGGGCCUGUACUGACGCUGAGGAGCGAAAGCGUGGGGAGCGAACAGG
RNAcentral lists this ribosomal RNA (253 nucleotides) under uncultured bacterium. RNAcentral describes it as "partial 16S ribosomal RNA". It matches the Rfam family "Bacterial small subunit ribosomal RNA", at positions 524 to 776 of the family's 1533-position model. The record is from RNAcentral.